CCUACGGGAUGCAGCAGUGGGGAAUCUUUGGCAAUGGAGGCAACUCUGACCCAGCAACGCCGCGUGAAUGAUGAAGGUCUUCGGAGUUUAAAGUUCUGUGAUGGGGGAUGAACACAAUGACGGUACCCCAAUAGCAAGCCACGGCUAACUACGUGCCAGCAGCCGCGGUAAUACGGAGGUGGCAAGCGUUAUCCGGAAUGACUGGGCGUAAGGGGUGCGUAGGUGGUUUAGUAAGUUGGCGGUGUAAUUCCGGGGCUCAACCGCGGCGCUACCGCCAAAACUAUUAGACUAGAGUGCAGGAGGGGUAAGUGGAAUUCCUAGUGUAGCGGUGGAAUGCGUAGAUAUUAGGAGGAACAUCAGGGGCGAAGGCGACUUACUGGACUGUAACUGACACUGAGGCACGAAAGCGUGGGGAGCAAACAGGAUUAGAUACCCUUGUAGUC
This 443-nucleotide ribosomal RNA is filed under the name uncultured bacterium. Its description in RNAcentral is "partial 16S ribosomal RNA". It matches the Rfam family "Bacterial small subunit ribosomal RNA", at positions 338 to 795 of the family's 1533-position model. The record is from RNAcentral.